AUCUAGACAACACAAAGGAUGUUCGACCCGCACCUAUAAACCCUAUCCUUCCUGCUAACGAGAUGUGAUCUGCAAAGGUAAUUCGGAAUUGUCACGUUCCUCACUACUACCAUGGUCCAGCUAGUCAGUGAAUAUCUAUGAGUACCCCAGCCUAAACACCACGUUUACGCCAGCAAUGAUUACUCUAAACUCUACGCGAAGAGAUUAAAG
This 210-nucleotide long non-coding RNA is filed under the name Sorghum bicolor (sorghum). RNAcentral describes it as "long non-coding RNA (SBIC_LNC006317)". The record is from RNAcentral. Lineage: Eukaryota; Viridiplantae; Streptophyta; Magnoliopsida; Poales; Poaceae.